RNAcentral lists this ribosomal RNA (473 nucleotides) under uncultured bacterium. RNAcentral's name for it is "bacterial SSU rRNA". It matches the Rfam family "Bacterial small subunit ribosomal RNA", at positions 355 to 825 of the family's 1533-position model. The record is from RNAcentral.
UCGGGAAUUUUGGGCAAUGGGCGAAAGCCUGACGCAGCGACACCGCGUGAGUGAGGAAGGUCUUCGGAUUGUAAAGCUCUGUCGGCAGGAAAGAUGGAACAGGUGGUUAAUACCCAUUUGUUUUGACGGUACCUGCAAAGGAAGCACCGGCUAACUCUGUGCCAGCAGCCGCGGUAAUACAGAGGGUGCAAGCGUUGUUCGGAUUUACUGGGCGUAAAGCGCGCGUAGGCGGUAUAUCAAGUCGGAUGUGAAAACCCAAGGCUUAACCAUGGAAGUGCAUUCGAAACUGGUACACUGGAGUCUCGGAGAGGGUGGUGGAAUUCCUGGUGUAGAGGUGAAAUUCGUAGAUAUCAGGAAGAACAUCAGUGGCGAAGGCGACCACCUGGACGAUGACUGACGCUGAGGCGCGAAAGCCAGGGGAGCAAACGGGAUUAGAUACCCAUGUAGUCCCUGAGCGGGCUGGCAAGGCGCAU